AACGCGAAGAACCUUACCUGGGCUUGAACUACUGGUGGUAAGUCUUUGGAAACAGAGGCUGACCCGCAAGGGAGCCAGCAGAGGUGCUGCAUGGUUGUCGUCAGCUCGUGUCGUGAGAUGUUGGGUUAAGUCCCGCAACGAGCGCAACCCCUAUCUCAUGUUGCUAUUCCCGCAAGGGAAGCACUCUUGAGAAACUGCCUUCGAUAAGAAGGAGGAAGGUGGGGACGACGUCAAAUCCUCAUGGCCCUUAUGUCCAGGGCAACACACGUGUUACAAUGGCCGGUACAGUGGGAAGCAAUACCGUAAGGUGGAGCCAAACCUCAAAGCCGGCCCCAGUUCAGAUUGUGGGCUGCAACUCGCCCACAUGAAGGCGGAAUCGCUAGUAAUCGCUGAUCAGCAGGCAGCGGUGAAUACGUUCCCGGGCCUUGUACACACCGCUACAGU
Molecule: ribosomal RNA, 444 nt
Filed under: uncultured bacterium
Lineage: Bacteria
Description: bacterial SSU rRNA
Rfam family: Bacterial small subunit ribosomal RNA
Source: RNAcentral